AGAAAAGUCUCUAUCGAGGUUAAAGGUACCCGUACCGCAAACCGACACAGGUGGGUGAGGAGAGUAUCCUAAGGCCCGCGAGAGCACUGUUGUUAAGGAACUCGGCAAAAUGACCCCGUAACUUAGGGAUAAGGGGUGCCACCAUCCGGUGGCCGCAGAGAAUAGGCCCAAGCGACUGUUUACCAAAAACAUAGGUUUCUGCUAAGUCG
Molecule: ribosomal RNA, 209 nt
Filed under: Clostridioides difficile
Lineage: Bacteria; Bacillati; Bacillota; Clostridia; Peptostreptococcales; Peptostreptococcaceae
Description: partial 23S ribosomal RNA
Rfam family: Bacterial large subunit ribosomal RNA
Source: RNAcentral